RNAcentral lists this small nuclear RNA (112 nucleotides) under Suricata suricatta (meerkat). Its description in RNAcentral is "U2 spliceosomal RNA (ENSSSUG00005020913.1)". It matches the Rfam family "U2 spliceosomal RNA". From Rfam's summary of the family: U2 is a small nuclear RNA (snRNA) component of the spliceosome (involved in pre-mRNA splicing). Complementary binding between U2 snRNA (in an area lying towards the 5' end but 3' to hairpin I) and the branchpoint sequence (BPS) of the intron results the bulging out of an unpaired adenosine, on the BPS, which initiates a nucleophilic attack at the intronic 5' splice site, thus starting the first of two transesterification reactions that mediate splicing. Lineage: Eukaryota; Metazoa; Chordata; Mammalia; Carnivora; Herpestidae. The record is from Rfam by way of RNAcentral.
AUCACUUCUUGGCCUUUUGGCCAAGAUCAAGGGUAGUAACUGUUCUAAUCAGUUUAAUAUUUAAUACGUGCUGUAUCCAUAGGAGGUUCCUCAUCUGUCUUUUGUAUCUCAU